This 465-nucleotide ribosomal RNA is filed under the name uncultured Nitrospirales bacterium. RNAcentral's name for it is "partial 16S ribosomal RNA". It matches the Rfam family "Bacterial small subunit ribosomal RNA", at positions 338 to 794 of the family's 1533-position model. Lineage: Bacteria; Pseudomonadati; Nitrospirota; Nitrospiria; Nitrospirales. The record is from RNAcentral.
CCUACGGGAGGCAGCAGUGGGGAAUAUUGCUCAAUGGGCGAAAGCCUGAAGCAGCAACGCCGCGUGGGGGAUGAAGGUCUUCGGAUUGUAAACCCCUUUCGACCGGAACGAAUCCCCUCCUGGUGAACAAUCAGGAGGAUCGACGGUACCGGGAGAAGAAGCCACGGCUAACUCUGUGCCAGCAGCCGCGGUAAGACAGAGGUGGCAAGCGUUGUUCGGAUUUACUGGGCGUAAAGCGCACGCAGGCGGUUGGGUAAGUCAGAGGUGAAAGCCCACGGCUUAACCGUGGAAUUGCCUUUGAUACUGCCUUUCUCGAGUGCAGGAGGGGGAAGCGGAAUUCCCGGUGUAGAGGUGAAAUUCGUAGAUAUUGGGAGGACCACCUGUGGCGAAGGCGGCCCCCUGGUCCACACCUGACGCUGAGGUGCGAAAGCGUGGGGAGCAAACAGGAUUAGAUCCCCUGGUAGU